CCUACGGGUGGCAGCAGUGGGGAAUAUUGCACAAUGGGGGAAACCCUGAUGCAGCAACGCCGCGUGGGUGAAGGAGCGUUUCGGCGCGUAAAGCCCUGUCAGCGGGGAAGAAGAAAGACGGUACCCGACCCCGAAGCCCCGGCUCACUACGUGCCAGCAGCCGCGGUAAUACGUAGGGGGCGAGCGUUAUCCGGAAUUACUGGGUGUAAAGGGAGCGUAGACGGCGAGGUAAGCCUGAAGUGGAAGCCCGCGGCCCAACCGCGGAACUGCUUUGGGAACUGUUUUGCUGGAGGAUGGGAGGGGUAAGCGGAAUUCCUGGUGUAGCGGUGAAAUGCGUAGAUAUCAGGAGGAACACCGGUGGCGAAGGCGGCUUACUGGACCGUAACUGACGUUGAGGCUCGAAAGCGUGGGGAGCAAACAGGAUUAGAUACCCCAGUAGUC
RNAcentral lists this ribosomal RNA (441 nucleotides) under uncultured bacterium. RNAcentral's name for it is "partial 16S ribosomal RNA". It matches the Rfam family "Bacterial small subunit ribosomal RNA", at positions 338 to 795 of the family's 1533-position model. The record is from RNAcentral.